Molecule: long non-coding RNA, 430 nt
Organism: Spinacia oleracea (spinach)
Lineage: Eukaryota; Viridiplantae; Streptophyta; Magnoliopsida; Caryophyllales; Amaranthaceae
Exons: 3
Source: RefSeq, a predicted model, not a curated record
CGUGAAAGGUUCAGCAUACCUUGGUAAAAAUAAAACAGACCCAAAUUUCUUCAUCGUAAACUAAACAGACCCUGGACAUUCUCUCUCCUCUCUGAUAAAUUCUUUGUCCUCUUCUUCAUCUCUUUGGCAUCCAUGGCUAUGGAGACUUGAUCCCACUAAGUCAGGAUUCACAGAAUUACAAGUAAUAACAGUUCAUCUCCCCCAAAACUCUAUACAUUCAAGUUCUCAACUCACAUUCUGUCUAUCUUUCGGCGAAUCGAUGUCAAUGCGGACGAGAUAUACGGCGUUUCUUAGGUUAGAGUGAGUAUAGGAGGUGAUAGAGGUUAGCGGCGAGGUUAGGGGCGCGGUCGGAGUUAAUUCUGGCAAAUGUUGAUCCAGUCGAAGUUGCAAAAAAUAUCUCUGGAUUGAACCCUGAGAUUACGCCAGGCAA